This 497-nucleotide ribosomal RNA is filed under the name uncultured bacterium. RNAcentral's name for it is "partial 16S ribosomal RNA". It matches the Rfam family "Bacterial small subunit ribosomal RNA", at positions 28 to 507 of the family's 1533-position model. The record is from RNAcentral.
GAUGAACGCUGGCGGCGUGCCUAAUACAUGCAAGUCGAGCGAACAGACGAGGAGCUUGCUCCUCUGACGUUAGCGGCGGACGGGCGAGUAACACGUGGAUAACCUACCUAUAAGACUGGGAUAACUUCGGGAAACCGGAGCUAAUACCGGAUAAUAUAUUCAACCGCAUGGUUCAAUAGUGAAUGACGGUUUUGCUGUCACUUAUAGAUGGAUCCGCGCCGGAUUAGCUAGUUGGUAAGGUAACGGCUUACCAAGGCAACGAUGCGUAGCCGACCUGAGAGGAUGAUCGGCCACACUGGAACUGAGACACGGUCCAGACUCCUACGGGAGGCAGCAGUGGGGAAUCUUCGACAAUGGGCGAAAGCCUGACCCAGCCACGCCGCGUGAGUGAAGAAGGCCUUCGGGUUGUAAAGCCCUUUUAUUGGGAAAGAAAAACAGCGGAUGAAUCCCCGGAUGUUCUGACGGUACCCAAUGAAUAAGCACCGGCUAACUUCGUG